This 496-nucleotide ribosomal RNA is filed under the name uncultured bacterium. Its description in RNAcentral is "partial 16S ribosomal RNA". It matches the Rfam family "Bacterial small subunit ribosomal RNA", at positions 29 to 507 of the family's 1533-position model. The record is from RNAcentral.
AUGAACGCUGGCGGCGUGCCUAAUACCUGCCAGUCGAGCGAACAGACGAGGAGCUUGCUCCUCUGACGUUAGCGGCGGACGGGUGAGUAACACGUGGAUAACCUACCUAUAAGACUGGGAUAACUUCGGGAAACCGGAGCUAAUACCGGAUAAUAUAUUGAACCGCAUGGUUCAAUAGUGAAAGACGGUUUUGCUGUCACUUAUAGAUGGAUCCGCGCCGCAUUAGCUAGUUGGUAAGGUAACGGCUUACCAAGGCAACGAUGCGUAGCCGACCUGAGAGGGUGAUCGGCCACACUGGAACUGAGACACGGUCCAGACUCCUACGGGAGGCAGCAGUAGGGAAUCUUCCGCAAAGGGCGAAAGCCUGACGGAGCAACGCCGCGUGAGUGAUGAAGGUCUUCGGAUCGUAAAACUCUGUUAUUAGGGAAGAACAAAUGUGUAAGUAACUAUGCACGUCUUGACGGUACCUAAUCAGAAAGCCACGGCUAACUACGUG